ACGGGAGGCAGCAGUAGGGAAUAUUGCACAAUGGGGGGAACCCUGAUGCAGCAACGCCACGUGUGGGAAGAAGCAUUUCGGUGUGUAAACCACUGUCGUGAGGGAAUAAUGCUUGGCUCCGGCCAAGUUGAAUGUACCUCGAGAGGAAGCACCGGCAAACUUCGUGCCAGCAGCCGCGGUAAUACGAGGGGUGCAAGCGUUGUUCGGAAUCACUGGGCGUAAAGGGAGCGUAGGCGGAGAUGCAAGCAGUCUGUACGAUACCGGGGCCCAACCCCGGACCUGCAGACUGGACUGUGUCUCUUGGAUAGUUCAGGGGCAGGCGGAAUUCCUGGUGUGGCGGUGGAAUGCGUAGAGAUCAGGAAGAACACCGAUGGCGAAGGCAGCCUGCUGGGGACUCAUCGACGCUGAGGCUCGAAAGUGCGGGUAGCAAACAGGAUUAGAUACCCUGGUA
This 451-nucleotide ribosomal RNA is filed under the name uncultured Fibrobacter sp. RNAcentral's name for it is "partial 16S ribosomal RNA". It matches the Rfam family "Bacterial small subunit ribosomal RNA", at positions 341 to 792 of the family's 1533-position model. Lineage: Bacteria; Pseudomonadati; Fibrobacterota; Fibrobacteria; Fibrobacterales; Fibrobacteraceae. The record is from RNAcentral.